ACGAACGCUGGCGGCAGGCUUAACACAUGCAAGUCGAGCGCCCCGCAAGGGGAGCGGCAGACGGGUGAGUAACGCGUGGGAAUCUACCUAUCUCUACGGAAUAACCCAGGGAAACUUGGACUAAUACCGUAUACGUCCUUCGGGAGAAAGAUUUAUCGGGGAUAGAUGAGCCCGCGUUGGAUUAGCUAGUUGGUGGGGUAAAGGCCUACCAAGGCGACGAUCCAUAGCUGGUCUGAGAGGAUGAUCAGCCACACUGGGACUGAGACACGGCCCAGACUCCUACGGGAGGCAGCAGUGGGGAAUAUUGGACAAUGGGCGAAAGCCUGAUCCAGCCAUGCCGCGUGAGUGAUGAAGGCCCUAGGGUUGUAAAGCUCUUUCACCGGUGAAGAUAAUGACGGUAACCGGAGAAGAAGCCCCGGCUAACUUCGU
RNAcentral lists this ribosomal RNA (429 nucleotides) under uncultured bacterium. RNAcentral's name for it is "bacterial SSU rRNA". It matches the Rfam family "Bacterial small subunit ribosomal RNA", at positions 29 to 506 of the family's 1533-position model. The record is from RNAcentral.